GACGAACGCUGGCGGCGUGCUUAACACAUGCAAGUCGAACGGAAAGGCCCAGCUUGCUGGGUGCUCGAGUGGCGAACGGGUGAGUAACACGUGGGUGAUCUGCCCCUAACUUCGGGAUAAGCUUGGGAAACUGGGUCUAAUACCGGAUAGGACAAUCGUUUAGUGUCGGUUGUGGAAAGUUUUUUCGGUUAGGGAUGAGCUCGCGGCCUAUCAGCUUGUUGGUGGGGUAAUGGCCUACCAAGGCGUCGACGGGUAGCCGGCCUGAGAGGGUGGACGGCCACAUUGGGACUGAGAUACGGCCCAGACUCCUACGGGAGGCAGCAGUGGGGAAUAUUGCACAAUGGGCGCAAGCCUGAUGCAGCGACGCCGCGUGGGGGAUGACGGCCUUCGGGUUGUAAACCUCUUUCGACAGGGACGAAGCUUUGGUGACGGUACCUGUAUAAGAAGCACCGGCUAACUACGUG
This 464-nucleotide ribosomal RNA is filed under the name uncultured bacterium. RNAcentral's name for it is "partial 16S ribosomal RNA". It matches the Rfam family "Bacterial small subunit ribosomal RNA", at positions 28 to 507 of the family's 1533-position model. The record is from RNAcentral.